This is a non-coding RNA of Populus trichocarpa (black cottonwood), 105 nucleotides long. NCBI's taxonomy places the organism in Eukaryota, Viridiplantae, Streptophyta, Magnoliopsida, Malpighiales, Salicaceae. The record is from Rfam.
GUAACUGUUUGGGGCAAAUCCCCAUAUAGUUAUGACAGACCGAUUCUUUACAGCUCAGAAUUACUCGUGAGAAUUACUGUGUGACAAUAACUUUUUAAACUUUUA